UUCUGCACUGCAGCAAACUGGAAGUGUGAGGAUAGGAAUCAUUGGAGCAGUGAAGAGAGUUGGUCGAAAUCUGUGUGAGGACCUGAAUUCUGGCAACAACUUUGUGAGGUGUAGUUUCACAUCGUCUCUGGAUAACAUCUGUCAGAAUGACACAAGCUCCAUGUUUGAAUGCUCCAUCUUAGACCUCAACUCAAGCAGGCCAGAUCCACAGACUGCGGUGGGAUCGUGCAGUGGUGGAAACAGUGCAGUCACAACAGCCAGCACAACAGUGAGCACAAAUAUCAGUUACACAACAGAGAACAAUGUGACUACGGCUGCCGACGAUUUCACAAUAGCCUUCCCCAGUGACAUAACAGAGAACAAUAUAACUACAGCCACCGACAAUUACACUACAGCCGCCAACAUAUCCAACUACACAG
This is a long non-coding RNA of Solea senegalensis (Senegalese sole), 419 nucleotides long. RefSeq lists it as uncharacterized. Lineage: Eukaryota; Metazoa; Chordata; Actinopteri; Pleuronectiformes; Soleidae. The transcript has 4 exons. The record is from RefSeq and is a predicted model, not a curated record.